GAUGAACGCUGGCGGCGUGCCUAAUACAUGCAAGUCGAGCGAACGGACGAGAAGCUGGCUUCUCUGAUGUUAGCGGCGGACGGGUGAGUAACACGUGGAUAACCUACCUAUAAGACUGGGAUAACUUCGGGAAACCGGAGCUAAUACCGGAUAAUAUUUUGAACCGCAUGGUUCAAAAGUGAAAGACGGUCUUGCUGUCACUUAUAGAUGGAUCCGCGCUGCAUUAGCUAGUUGGUAAGGUAACGGCUUACCAAGGCAACGAUGCAUAGCCGACCUGAGAGGGUGAUCGGCCACACUGGAACUGAGACACGGUCCAGACUCCUACGGGAGGCAGCAGUAGGGAAUCUUCCGCAAUGGGCGAAAGCCUGACGGAGCAACGCCGCGUGAGUGAUGAAGGUCUUCGGAUCGUAAAACUCUGUUAUUAGGGAAGAACAUAUGUGUAAGUAACUGUGCACAUCUUGACGGUACCUAAUCAGAAAGCCACGGCUAACUACGUGCCAGCAGCCGCGGUAAUACGUAGGUGGCAAGCGUUAUCCGGAAUUAUUGGGCGUAAAGCGCGCGUAGGCGGUUUUUUAAGUCUGAUGUGAAAGCCCACGGCUCAACCGUGGAGGGUCAUUGGAAACUGGAAAACUUGAGUGCAGAAGAGGAAAGUGGAAUUCCAUGUGUAGCGGUGAAAUGCGCAGAGAUAUGGAGGAACACCAGUGGCGAAGGCGACUUUCUGGUCUGUAACUGACGCUGAUGUGCGAAAGCGUGGGGAUCAAACAGGAUUAGAUACCCUGGUAGUCCACGCCGUAAACGAUGAGUGCUAAGUGCUAGGGGGUUUCCGCCCCUUAGUGCUGCAGCUAACGCAUUAAGCACUCCGCCUGGGGAGUACGACCGCAAGGUUGAAACUCAAAGGAAUUGACGGGGACCCGCACAAGCGGUGGAGCAUGUGGUUUAAUUCGAAGCAACGCGAAGAACCUUACCAAAUCUUGACAUCCUCUGACAACUCUAGAGAUAGAGCUUUCCCUUUCGGGGGACAAAGUGACAGGUGGUGCAUGGUUGUCGUCAGCUCGUGUCGUGAGAUGUUGGGUUAAGUCCCGCAACGAGCGCAACCCUUAAGCUUAGUUGCCAUCAUUAAGUUGGGCACUCUAAGUUGACUGCCGGUGACAAACCGGAGGAAGGUGGGGAUGACGUCAAAUCAUCAUGCCCCUUAUGAUUUGGGCUACACACGUGCUACAAUGGACAAUACAAAGGGCAGCGAAACCGCGAGGUCAAGCAAAUCCCAUAAAGUUGUUCUCAGUUCGGAUUGUAGUCUGCAACUCGACUACAUGAAGCUGGAAUCGCUAGUAAUCGUAGAUCAGCAUGCUACGGUGAAUACGUUCCCGGGUCU
This 1372-nucleotide ribosomal RNA is filed under the name uncultured bacterium. RNAcentral's name for it is "bacterial SSU rRNA". It matches the Rfam family "Bacterial small subunit ribosomal RNA", at positions 28 to 1381 of the family's 1533-position model. The record is from RNAcentral.